CCUAACUCCAAAUCCUGUGGGCAAAUAAAGCUGUCCAGCACAAGCUGCUACUUCCAGAUUCAGGCUGUAUUGAUGCGGGAGGGGUCUGGCCUCACAUCCCUCAUCCUUAGGCUGCUCUGGACCACCUGACUGUCCCUCUAACCAGAAUGAAGCUCAUCUAAGAGGGCCAUUUCAGAGAGCCCCAGGGACAAUUGGGUUGCUGGGGCUCUGUUAACCCUCUGUUGUCAGCUGCCAAAGCCCUUGACUCUGGAGGGACUAGUGGAGACAGCAUGGUUCCUCUCCACCCAACCUGGAGGGUAAGCCCUGUGUGUAGCUGUCUCCUUGGAGCCCAUCUCACCCUGAUUUGGGGUCGAUGAAUAUGCAGAGAACCUUGAUGAGGUGCUUGCAGCCCUGCCACCCUGCAGGACAGGGUAUUGAUGCUUGGCGAAAGCAAGCGGCCUGGGUGGGACUGGAUUCACACCUUUUCAGAGUCAGAAAAGGCUGCUUCCAUCAGGAAGAGUCUGAGCUGGUGCUCCAGCUGGGCUAGGCUGCUUGGCCUGCUUAAGGUGCCAUAUCCCAACUCAUCCACAGCUGUUAGCAGAGCCAGCAGCUCGAAGAAACGGGGGAUAACAAAAAUAUGUCCUUUCUUUGUGGUCUGGUGCAGCCCUGCAUCAGAUGCCAGGGUUGGUGGUCAGGACACAGACAGGAUUUCAGCUCCCACCUGCCCCUUCUGCUGGCUUCUUUGUGCAGGCACUGGGGACCCAGCUGUGGGCGGGGGCCCUGCCCAUGAGCAAUAUGCCAGUGUGUGUGAUGUGCCAGUUGGUAAGCUGGGUUUUAGAGACCCUUUUGCAAUUUCCUCCAACAGCCAUCAUUAUGUAAUUCAAAAUAAAAACAAUACUGACUCUUUAAAACACAAUCUCACACAAAUGCUGAAACUAAAAUGAUUUUACUUGAGAUGAUUAGACUGCCAAACAUUGGUGUUCUCAGUGAAACUGAACAUUUUUUCAGUUUUGUGGGAGGGGCCUGAGUAAUUAAGUUGCUAAGCCAAUAUUUAGGCUGCCCAUUGGGCAGUCUGCCUUUGCACCCAGGACCCACAGCUGCUUCCUUACCCUGUAAGCGGAUUUCCCAAGCCCCAGGUCCCAUCCUCUGUGUGCAGAACCCCUGCCACCUACCUCCUCGCCCUCCUAGAUGCUCCUGGAUCCCAGCAUCCUGCAGGAGGAGACUAUCAGAAUUGGCUAUCAGAGCUUGUCUGCUUUCCACUUCCCCUCUCAGACUGGUUCCCUGAGUUUGGAGGAACUUUCUGGACUUAAACUUGAGUGCCCCAUCCCAGGAGUGAGGCAGUUUUCCCUGUGCUUUACAUUCAGAGCCCUAAUCUUUUCUAACUCUUUCUUAAUCCCACUUCCAAUAUUCAUGAUCACUCAAUCACUGAACCACAUCCCCAGACACCCCCCCCCCUUUUUUUUUUGGUAUUUUAUUUAGAAACAGUGUCUCACUGAGUUGCUUAGGGCCUUGCUAAGUUGCUGAGGCUGGCUUUGAACUUGGGAUCCUCUCUCUUCAGCCUCCUGAGCCGCUGGGAUUAUAGGUAUGUGCAGCUUCCUCUUGCUAUUCUAACUGGAUGUAUACUUAUCCAUCACAUUUGGAGGGUCAGGACAGUGGAGGAAGUCCAGGAAAUCUGACUCCUUCAUGCUGCUUGGUGGCUUCAAAAUAAUAUAAAAAAUGUUCAUCAUCUCUAGCAAUUAGAGAAAUGCAAAUCAAAAUCACUCUAAGAUUUCAUCUCACUCCAGUCAGAAUGGCAGCUCUUAAAAGAAUACAAACAACAAUAAGUUUUGGCGAGGAUGUGGGGAAAAAGGUACAUUCAUACACUGCUGGUGGGACUGCAAAUUGGUGCAGCCAAUAUGGAAAGCAGUAUGGAGAUUCUAUGAAAAACUGGGAAUGGAACCACCAUUUGACCCAGCUAUCCCUCUCCUCUGUCUAUACCCAAAUGACUUAAAAACAGCAUACUACAGGGACACAGCCACAUGAAUGUUUUUAGCAGCACAAUUCACAAUAGCCAAACUGUGGAACCAACUUAGAUGCCCUUCAAUAGAUGAAUGGAUUAAAAAAAUGUGGCAUAUAUAUACAGUGGAAUAUUACUCAGAAUAAAAGAGAAUAAAAUCAUGGCAUUUACAGGUGAAUGGAUGGAGUUGGAGAAGAUAAUGCUAAGUGAAGUAAGCCAAUCCCAAAAAACCAAAUGCUGAAUGUUUUCUCUGAUAGAAGGAGUCUGAUUCAUAGUGGGGUAGGGAGGGGGAGCAUGGGAGGAAUAGACGAACUCUAGAUAGGGCAGAGGACUGGGAGGGGAAGGGAGGGAAGAGGGGGUUAGCUAGCAAUGAUGGUGGAAUGUGAUGGACAUCAUUACUUAAUACUCCUUCCUUCAAGAGGUGGCUCUUGGUUCUGCUCCCCUAGAGUAUGGCUGGACUUAGGAAGUUGCUCAUUAUGAACAGAACAUGGCUUCUUUCUUGUUUUCUCUUGAAUCUUUCACUCCAGGGGAAGCCAGCUGCCAUCCUGUGAAGACAUUCAAAUGGCCUUGUGGAGAGAUCCACGUGGCAAGCAGCUAUGGCCUCCUGCAAGCGGCCCACAGGGGCAGCCAUGUGAGUGAGCUGCCUCGGAGCUUCAUCUUCACUCUUAGUUACACCCCUCUAACUCAGGCCCCUGCCAACCCUUCAGACAACUGUGGCUCCUGACAACAUGGUGAGUCCUGCUGAACAAUGACCCUGGACCAGACCCAUCACCCAGCUAAACUGCUUCUCAAACUCCC
This 2773-nucleotide long non-coding RNA is filed under the name Marmota monax (woodchuck). Lineage: Eukaryota; Metazoa; Chordata; Mammalia; Rodentia; Sciuridae. The record is from RNAcentral.